UUUCCUAAAGAUCCUUAUAUAUUUUUUGAGUUGCUUCGGUAAAUAAGGGAUAGAAAAUAAUUUCUCUUGGCUUGUUUUGUCACUAUAUGGCAUGGACUAUUCUGAAUAAUCUAAAUGAUGUUAUGUUUUUUGAAAAUACAAUGUCAGUAGCGGGAUUCCUUGAUGACCAUUUGUUGUUUAUUUAGUAAAUUAAUCUCUCUCUCUCUCUCUCUCUCUC
Molecule: long non-coding RNA, 217 nt
Filed under: Lathyrus oleraceus (garden pea)
Lineage: Eukaryota; Viridiplantae; Streptophyta; Magnoliopsida; Fabales; Fabaceae
Description: Pisum sativum (pea) long non-coding RNA (PSAT_LNC009024)
Source: RNAcentral